GUGGGGAAUUUUGGACAAUGGGCGAAAGCCUGAUCCAGCCAUGCCGCGUGAGUGAUGAAGGCCUUAGGGUUGUAAAGCUCUUUCGCCGAGGACGAUAAUGACGGUACUCGGAUAAGAAGCCCCGGCUAACUUCGUGCCAGCAGCCGCGGUAAUACGAAGGGGGCUAGCGUUGUUCGGAAUUACUGGGCGUAAAGCGUAUGUAGGCGGGUCGUUAAGUUAGGGGUGAAAUCCCAAGGCUCAACCUUGGAACUGCCCUUGAUACUGGCGAUCUUGAGUCCGGGAGAGGUGAGUGGAACUGCGAGUGUAGAGGUGAAAUUCGUAGAUAUUCGCAAGAACACCAGUGGCGAAGGCGGCUCACUGGCCCGGUACUGACGCUGAGAUACGAAAGCGUGGGGAGCAAACAGGAUUAGAAACCCUGGUAGUCC
This 425-nucleotide ribosomal RNA is filed under the name uncultured bacterium. Its description in RNAcentral is "partial 16S ribosomal RNA". It matches the Rfam family "Bacterial small subunit ribosomal RNA", at positions 354 to 796 of the family's 1533-position model. The record is from RNAcentral.